RNA transcript from Panicum virgatum (switchgrass), 2308 nucleotides. It is a transcript of the gene named double-stranded RNA-binding protein 1-like, with no coding region annotated. The record is from RefSeq and is a predicted model, not a curated record. Lineage: Eukaryota; Viridiplantae; Streptophyta; Magnoliopsida; Poales; Poaceae. The transcript is spliced from 5 exons.
CUUCAGUCAAGGAGGGGGUGCCCGACAUAAACACCACCCCCGACAUCUCUCCCUCCAUUGAAAAGGCAGGGCGGCAAGAAAGCGUGAAGGGAGCCAACCUGCCACACGGGCAAGAGCGGAGAGGACAGGCGAGGCACCCAACAUUCGUGAGUCCCAUCGAAUCUAGCCCCGAGCAAUUCUCAGCAGCAGCGAGGAACCCUAGUCACUUCAAUCGGAGCAGAGACCAGCAAGCAGAUCGCGCUGCAAAAAUGUUCAGGUCGCGGCUGCAGGAGCUGUGCCAGCAGCGGCGGUGGGCGCCGCCGGUGUUCGAGCACACCCGCGAGGGCCCCGACCACUCUCCCCUCUUCCGCGCUACCGUCCUUGUCCAUGACGAGAAGUUCAGCUCCCCCGACGAAGGAGCGCGGUCGACCAAGGAGGCGUACAACCUCGCCGCCAUGGCCGCCUUCGAGCACCUCGCCGCGCUCCCGGCCGCGGCCGCGGCCCUUGUCCCGGUUCCGGUCGCUCCAGCGCCUCCACAGCCUGCGACCCAACUUCCUUACAAGAGUCAGUUACAAAUUUAUGCUCAGAAGUGAGGCAAGAAUCUGCCUUCAUAUCGUUCCAUUAAUGGAGGCUCUCUUCGCGCACCUCUAUUCAAGUCAGAAGUAACCAUAGAUGGGCAAACAUUUGAGAGCCCAGAAUACUUUCACACAAUGAAGGAAGCUGAAACUGCUGCUGCAAAAGUUGCUCUGAUGUCCUUACCUCAAGAAGCAAGCCCACCACAGCAAUCUCUUGUUCCGUCAGUAUCUUAUAAGAAUCUUCUACAAGAACUGGCUCAGAAGGAAGGCUUUCCCUUGCCUGUCUAUGCUACAACUUCAGAUGUCUCAAAUCAUUCUGCUGCCUUCAUAUCAACUGUCGAAAUUCAAGGUACAACUUUUCAGGGAGAGCCAGGGAACACCAAGAAGCAAGCAGAGAUGAAUGCUGCUAAGGUUGCUUUUCAACAUUUCAAAGACAGAUCAUCCAUGCAACAAGGAAACGAGAAUAUGUUUUCUGGACAAAAUAUCAAGAUUCUAUCCUCCAUGCAACAAGGAACCAAUAAUCUGUUUUCUGGAGAGAAGAUCAAGAUUCUAGAGCCUAAACUUUCAGCUCCUGUUGUAUCAACAGCAAAACCUGGCAAGGAUAGUGACUUUGAUGCUGUAAAUCAUGUUGCUAGAUCAGCUGGCUCUGCUAACCCACUCCCUGUUGCUGCUACCCCACAAUUUCUUGAUGAAAAUGCUCAAUCUGCAAUGAUGGAAGUUGGCAGAUUAUUCCUUCCAGAGCCAAGCAUAGAAGUUGAAGCAAUGAAUUCAUCUCUGGAAGUUGAAAAACUACCCCUUCUAGAGUCGAGCAGGGGCAUGGAAAUCGUGGACUCAUCUUUGAAAGUUGACAAACUGUCCCUUCCAGAGCAAAGCAUGGAUGUUAAAGUUACAGAUUCAUGUCUGAAAGUUGACGAACUGCCCAUUCCAGAACCAAGCACAGAGGUUGCAGUGAUGAACUCAUCUCUGCAAUUUGCUGAACCACCCAUUGCAGAACCAAGCACAGAAGGUGAAGUCAUGGACUCAUCUGUGAAAGUCGGCGAACUGCCCAUUCCCAAGGCAUGCUCAGAAGUUGAAGCAAUGGUAUCAUCUCAGGAACAGACAUCGACUGUGAAUGGUCACUCACCCCUCAUAGCCCCAACCAGUACCUCCACUCUCACUGGGCCAACUGCUACCAUGCCUGUCAGCUCUGAUAGAUGUGGCUGCUACAUGUCAACCAACAGAAUCCAAGUCUACCCUCGCAGCACCGACAUGGCUAUCCCUGAAGGCGCAACCAUGCUUCCCUUCAGCGACAACAACUGGGUGGCCGUAAGCCUGCCUUGCGGCAACAACAAUGAAAGUAAUCUGAACUCUGCAAUGUGAUUUUACUGGAGCAUGCAGCAUGCUCUUGCGCCACACUGAGGCUAUUGAGAUCUUGGAGCUAUUAUCUGGUGUCGAAACCGCAAAGCUAAUUCUGCAAGCGACCGUCAGGUAAACGUUGGAUCGCACUAGAGAAGAAUCGACGGCUGAUCUUGUGAUGCUGGUCAGCAGCCCGUGCCAAAGCUUAAUUCAUCUUUGCUACUGUGCUAGUAUGUAGGCUAAGAACUGACCGCCAUUCACUGCGACUAUAACUAUUUUGAUGUAUCCCCUAUUGUAUCUGGCUGAAGCAGCUUGCUCAACUAUGUGAGCGAAACCCAAGUUAUACUCAUGCCGGAUUAAUAACCGAAGUAGAGACCCUGAACAUUAAUUGGACCAUCCACAGCAUCCGGUCGUGAUCA